UCAAUAAAUACUGCCUAACCAAAACUAAUGAAAACCAAAAACCCAAACCUAUCACUCUUUUCCUCUCAAAGAUUGAAAAAAAAAAUGGUAGAAAAGAGAGGUUAUCAUCAUUGUCCGAUGAUAAAUCUCCUUCGCGAUGUCCAAAGGCAAAUGAUAGCAAUGUUGGUUCAUCUGGAAAAUCGAUGCCGAUCUUGGAGGAAUCCAAGAAUAUUGAAUUCACAUGUCAUUCAGGUGCUGAAACGGAGAAGCCUUGCUGCCAACUUAUAUCAGAGUUUCUGGAGGUUUUCUAUUAGUAGUAUUUCUUAUUUUAAAACCAUUUCUUUUUUUUCCUGUUCGGGUGUAUGUGUUUGCAUUAAAUCUUUAUUAAUUCAGAUUCGCACUGUUUUGGGUCCCAUUUGGCAGAAAAUAUAUUAAGGAUUUUUUCAGACUCAAACACAAACUCGACAUCUCUGGUUAAAACAGUAACAACGCCAUCCACUGCAUUUUUGCUGGUUCUUUAUCUAUUUUUGCUGUUGAAUUUCUUUGAUAUAAUGUGAAUACACUGCUCACCUUUUGUUUGAUAUCUAAUAGAAUGUGAAUACAUUGCAGAAUCCAACAGUGGAUAUUUCUGGGCAACAUUUCAUGGCUGGUGCAGGCAAAGACAUGCAAUGAUUUGUGUGAUAAAUCGUGAAGAGUACCAAAACUCGAUGGCUUUGAUUGAGAGGAAUGGAAGCAGAGAACCAUACCCUUGGGUGGAAUACUAGUGGGCUUCUCAAUUCUGGCGAUCAGAUCGUCUUCCUCUCAAUCUGUGAGCUGUGCUUAGACGCCCCUGCUGUGGAUUAUCCGGACAAGUUACUCGCUAAUACAUUGUUUGAGGCUGGCUGUAUUCAAUGAGAGCCAGAAUUUGCUCAUUUUGUUUGUGAAAGAUUAAAUCCAAACUCGGUAUGAACGACAUUAAAAAGGAAAAAAAUUUAUGAAAUCGAACAUUUGUGCAACAUCCUUUCAUAAUCAUAUAUUGAGGUUUGAUUAUAUGAUCUAUUACAAUCCUUUCCUCAUGAAUUAUGUUGUGUGUGGUUGAGUUAGGCCAUUUAACAUGGUAUAAUAGUCUGGCGUAUCCUAAUUAUUACUUAUCUGAUGCUUUGCUAAAUUUGUUUGUCAUUAGAAGCUACUAAAUGAUAUAGCAGAUAUUGACUGAUGAACUCAUGAACAAAUUCGUGUCCAACCCCAGGGAUGUUGCGACAUAAAAUGAAUUUGAGAAGGGUUGUGCACAGAGGAUUCUGAACGAGUUAUGUUACUUGCAGCAACAAACACGCCAUUUGAUCAGGCUGUCAUAAGGCGACUACCCCAUAGGUUGAUGGUCAAUUUACCAGAUGCUCCAAACAACGCAAAAAUUCUAAAAAUGAUACUCGCAAAAGAAGACUUGGCUCAUGAUGUCGAUCUGGAUUCAGUUGCAUGCAUGACAAAUGGAUAUUCCAAAAGUAACCUUAACGUGUCUGUACUAUUCAUGUUUGCUUGGAUAAAUUACUAGUCCUAUUUCAUCAUUCUGAAAACAAAGCGUCUUCAAACUUCUGAAUGAUGAAACAUGACUAAUCGUUUAUUUAAGCAAACAUGAUUAGAAAAAACACCUUAAGGUCACUUCAUGAAUAUCCAUUUGUUGUAUUUGCAAUUGAAUUCAGAUCAACAUCCUGAGCCAAGUCUUCUUUUGCGAGUAUCACUUUUGGAACCUGUGUAUAGCAGAUGCAUAUCAACCCGUUGGAGAGAUAGUAGGAAAAAAAAUUGUAGCUUUUCUAUUUUUGAUGUCAGUUUGUUGGUUGCUUAACUGAGCUAGAAAAUAACAUGUUGGCUAAGGGUAAAGCUUUCUCUGCCUGAUGUUUAUUCGUUGAUUGCUUAACUGAGGCAGAAAAUAAGAUGUUUGCUCUUCCAAUUGAUUUUUUUCUCCGCGAUUAUGUUAUGGAUGUCAACUCCACUUUCUUUUGAUAAUUUUCAUGGGUUUUAGAGGAUCCUUUGAAGCAUCUUUAAUUCAAUCAUCACAGAUCUGAUGUAUUUUUCGUUUUUCAAAUUUAAUUCUUUGGUACUUAUGGUAAUCCUGCUUUCUUUGUUAAAGAAAAAGACAGUCUGGUGCAUGAAGUAUCCACCUCAUUCGGUGCCCGGUGCAUAGAAGGGCUGAGCUUCUUGAGUGGAAUGAUCUGUAUGGAGAAGGGCUCUCGAAAGAAGCAGUCUCUGAAAUACAUCAUGUAAAGACUCUCUAUAUGUAAAUGUUUAUUCUUCCUUGGUAAAAAUCUUGAUUCCGUCAAAUAUGAUUUGGUACUUAAAGCACAAA
This is a non-coding RNA of Solanum lycopersicum (tomato), 2299 nucleotides long. The record is from RefSeq and is a predicted model, not a curated record. NCBI's taxonomy places the organism in Eukaryota, Viridiplantae, Streptophyta, Magnoliopsida, Solanales, Solanaceae.